AAGUCGUAACAAGGUAUCCGUAGGUGAACCUGCGGAUGGAUCAUUAUCGUAUUACCACGUAUCAACUCACUGUGAACCGUAUUUGAGCAUCGGUGGAAGUGAAUUGUGACGUUCUGCACUUCGGUGUGGAACGCUUUGAGGUUAUCUUCCGUUUUGGUGUUAGUGGGAUUCAUUUUCUACUCGCAUCGCUUUUUUGGGGGAAGGACCGAACAAUUCGUCUUUUCUUUAUGUAAUUGAAGACAUUGCGAGAUGACUUUGAUAAUGUGAAGAAAUAACAUGCUAUGAACCGACUCAUCUUAUUUCCCUAAAAGCAAACCCACACCACAAAAGUACGUAAUAUGACCGCGACUAAGUCCAUUUUCUUACUCCCGAAAGGGGGAAGAAAAUCGUAGAAAUACGAAACUAAGUAUAACUCUUAGCAACGGAUAUCUCGGUUCUCAUAACGAUGAAGAACGCAGC
RNAcentral lists this unclassified non-coding RNA (459 nucleotides) under fungal sp. RNAcentral's name for it is "partial internal transcribed spacer region". The stretch from base 1 to 46 matches the Rfam family "Eukaryotic small subunit ribosomal RNA", at positions 1786 to 1831 of the family's 1831-position model. The record is from RNAcentral. Lineage: Eukaryota; Fungi.